Non-coding RNA from Trichonephila inaurata madagascariensis, 85 nucleotides. Lineage: Eukaryota; Metazoa; Arthropoda; Arachnida; Araneae; Nephilidae. The record is from the annotation of a GenBank genome assembly.
GACGGGGGGCCGAGUGGUUAAGGCGAUGGGGGGCUUUUAAUCCUUUGGGGCCUGCCCCGCGUGGGUUCGAAUCCCAUCCUCGUCA